RNAcentral lists this ribosomal RNA (775 nucleotides) under uncultured Neocallimastigales. RNAcentral describes it as "partial large subunit ribosomal RNA". It matches the Rfam family "Eukaryotic large subunit ribosomal RNA", at positions 25 to 616 of the family's 3401-position model. Lineage: Eukaryota; Fungi; Neocallimastigomycota; Neocallimastigomycetes; Neocallimastigales. The record is from RNAcentral.
CCGCAUCUGUGCAUGCAGCAUAUCAAUAAGCGGAGGAAAAGAAACUAACAAGGAUUCCCCUAGUAACGGCGAGUGAAGCGGGAAGAGCUCAAAUUUGAAAUCUUAAAGGGUUUCCCUUUACGAAUUGUAGAUUAAAGAAGUGUUUUCUGUUGAGGUUUUGGUAAAAGUUCUUUGGAAUAGGACAUCAUAGAGGGUGAGAAUCCCGUAUUUGACCUUUACUUUCAACUUUGUGAUACACUUUCAAAGAGUCGGAUUGUUUGGGAAUGCAGUCCAAAAUGGGUGGUAAAUUUCAUCUAAAGCUAAAUAUUGGCGAGAGACCGAUAGCGAACAAGUACCGUGAGGGAAAGAUGAAAAGAACUUUGAAAAGAGAGUUAAACAGUACGUGAAAUUGUCAAAAGGGAAGCGUUUGACACCAGUGUUGUUUUUCUGAAAAUCAAUUAAAGAACUGUUUAUGCUAAGCUGUUUAGACUUUAUCAGCUAACUGUUUAGUUUUGAGCUUUUCUUUAAUGCACUUUUCAGUUAACAAGUCAACAUCAAUUUCUUUUGCUGUAAAAAAGCUUGAGGAAGGUGGCUUGAGAUUCGUCUUAAGUGUUUAUAGCCUCUUGCCUAUGCAGUCGGAGAGAUUGAGGUCUGCAGCGUAGAUCCUUCGGGGCUAAAUGCAUUUGUGCUAAGUUAUAACAUUUUAUAGACAACUUGUUGACUAUGAUUUGUCUUGUAGCUUACUCGCUUAUGUUAUUUUACCUACGCUUAGGAUGUUGAGCGCAUGUCUCUCUCU